RNAcentral lists this transfer RNA (72 nucleotides) under Horadandia atukorali (golden rasbora). RNAcentral's name for it is "tRNA-Trp". It matches the Rfam family "tRNA". From Rfam's summary of the family: Transfer RNA (tRNA) molecules are approximately 80 nucleotides in length. Their secondary structure includes four short double-helical elements and three loops (D, anti-codon, and T loops). Further hydrogen bonds mediate the characteristic L-shaped molecular structure. tRNAs have two regions of fundamental functional importance: the anti-codon, which is responsible for specific mRNA codon recognition, and the 3' end, to which the tRNAs corresponding amino acid is attached (by aminoacyl-tRNA synthetases). tRNAs cope with the degeneracy of the genetic code in two manners: having more than one tRNA (with a specific anti-codon) for a particular amino acid; and 'wobble' base-pairing, i.e. permitting non-standard base-pairing at the 3rd anti-codon position. Lineage: Eukaryota; Metazoa; Chordata; Actinopteri; Cypriniformes; Danionidae. The record is from RNAcentral.
AGGGGCUUAGGAUAAUACUAAGACCAAGAGCCUUCAAAGCUCUAAGUGGAAGUGAGACUCUUCCAGCCCCUG